RNAcentral lists this long non-coding RNA (476 nucleotides) under Nicotiana benthamiana. RNAcentral's name for it is "long non-coding RNA (NBEN_LNC012161)". Lineage: Eukaryota; Viridiplantae; Streptophyta; Magnoliopsida; Solanales; Solanaceae. The record is from RNAcentral.
UAAAGUAACUCCUAUAUACCAUCAGUGAUGUAAUUUGCAGAAAUUCUCUCACGAACAUUCCUGGCCCCUCUCCGCUGCAUGCCGGACAUCCACCUGUAACCCUCAGAAGUUUGGUUGUUGUCUUUCUGUGACAAAAAGAGAUGGUGAAACUAUGAACUAUCAAGCUAAGUGAAAAUUUUAUAAUCUAAGUUGAUGGAAAUGCUUACUGCUUUCUUUGUGUCUCGUUUCCUUUUGACCUCAUGGAAAGUAUCUGCAGAAUAAGGUAGUUUUUGCUUGAGCUAAAAGAAAAACAAUAAUGUAAUAGGCUAUUCAUCUCGUUUCCUUUUGACCCCAUGGAAAGUAUCUGCAGAAAGAGAUGGGUUUCAGAAUUUCCUACUUGAUUAGCAUGGUAACUCUACCUAAAGCACAAUACACUUUAGUACAUAGAACUGGAGAAGACAAUUGGAAAUGAUAUAACGCUGGAGUAUAUAAUAAGC